GGGGGCUAUACAUGCAAGUCGAACGCACUCUCGUUUAGAUUGAAGGAGCUUGCUCCUGAUUGAUAAACAUUUGAGUGAGUGGCGGACGGGUGAGUAACACGUGGGUAACCUGCCCUAAAGUGGGGGAUAACAUUUGGAAACAGAUGCUAAUACCGCAUAAAACCUAACACCGCAUGGUGUAGGGUUGAAAGAUGGUUUCGGCUAUCACUUUAGGAUGGACCCGCGGUGCAUUAGUUAGUUGGUGAGGUAAAGGCUCACCAAGACCGUGAUGCAUAGCCGACCUGAGAGGGUAAUCGGCCACACUGGGACUGAGACACGGCCCAGACUCCUACGGGAGGCAGCAGUAGGGAAUCUUCCACAAUGGACGAAAGUCUGAUGGAGCAACGCCGCGUGAGUGAAGAAGGUUUUCGGAUCGUAAAACUCUGUUGUUGGAGAAGAAUGUAUCUGAUAGUAACUGAUCAGGUAGUGACGGUAUCCAACCAGAAAGCCACGGCUAACUACGUGCCAGCAGCCGCGGUAAUACGUAGGUGGCAAGCGUUGUCCGGAUUUAUUGGGCGUAAAGCGAGCGCAGGCGGUUUCUUAAGUCUGAUGUGAAAGCCUUCGGC
This 605-nucleotide ribosomal RNA is filed under the name Lactobacillus sp. MF19(2010). RNAcentral describes it as "bacterial SSU rRNA". It matches the Rfam family "Bacterial small subunit ribosomal RNA", at positions 44 to 608 of the family's 1533-position model. Lineage: Bacteria; Bacillati; Bacillota; Bacilli; Lactobacillales; Lactobacillaceae. The record is from RNAcentral.